This 444-nucleotide ribosomal RNA is filed under the name Triticum aestivum (bread wheat). Its description in RNAcentral is "partial small subunit ribosomal RNA". Lineage: Eukaryota; Viridiplantae; Streptophyta; Magnoliopsida; Poales; Poaceae. The record is from RNAcentral.
AUGCGGUCCAGUAAGCGCGCGACCCCGUCCAGGUCCACGUCGGCGGCACAAGCAACAACGUGCCCCAGCCGUACGCACCGCCAUGGAAGGCGGUGGACCCCAAGAACCAUUUCCAGUGGCACGUCGAUGAGGACGUCGAACCGGAGUACGCACAUCGCGGCGAUGAGGUGCCGCGCGGGUGCCGUGGCAUCCGCCACAACGACGACGACUGCCCCGACCGCCGCGGCGUCCGCCAUGACGACGACGACUACAACGACCACCGCGACGGAUUUCGACUUAAGCCACCCAAGCACCCAUUUCCGGUCUUCAAAGGGUACAAAACUUGCUGGCUUCCCCUGCGUCCCAAGCAGACUGAGGCUGCUGAUGCGGAUGAGGCUUUGGCUGUUCCUCUUGAUGGUGAAUGGAUAUGGCACUGCCAUCAGCUUAAUCCUACUCAAUACAUAA